AGAUGCUGUAAAACUCCUCGUAUUCUCAAAAGAGUAACAGUAUAUCUUAAAUAAACACCUUAACUUCAAACGGCUAUAACUUCUUCACCCCAACUCUAAAUCCUCUAAUUUUUGCACACAAAUUAUAUCUCAAAUCCUAAACUUUAUAACCCUAGCUUCUAAUCUUUGAAUGCUCUCUUUGAAGUUGCCAAAACCCUUCUUAAGGUCGCGGGCAGCCUCCUCAAAGUCCAUUGGGUAUGGUAUUCGACCAAUAGGAAUGAAGUUCUCCAU
RNAcentral lists this long non-coding RNA (270 nucleotides) under Physcomitrium patens. RNAcentral describes it as "long non-coding RNA (PPAT_LNC004379)". Lineage: Eukaryota; Viridiplantae; Streptophyta; Bryopsida; Funariales; Funariaceae. The record is from RNAcentral.